This 86-nucleotide transfer RNA is filed under the name bacterium. Its description in RNAcentral is "tRNA-Leu". It matches the Rfam family "tRNA". Rfam says of the family: Transfer RNA (tRNA) molecules are approximately 80 nucleotides in length. Their secondary structure includes four short double-helical elements and three loops (D, anti-codon, and T loops). Further hydrogen bonds mediate the characteristic L-shaped molecular structure. tRNAs have two regions of fundamental functional importance: the anti-codon, which is responsible for specific mRNA codon recognition, and the 3' end, to which the tRNAs corresponding amino acid is attached (by aminoacyl-tRNA synthetases). tRNAs cope with the degeneracy of the genetic code in two manners: having more than one tRNA (with a specific anti-codon) for a particular amino acid; and 'wobble' base-pairing, i.e. permitting non-standard base-pairing at the 3rd anti-codon position. The record is from RNAcentral. RNAcentral also lists the same sequence under 1 other name.
GCCGGGAUGGCGGAAUGGCAGACGCGGCGGACUUAAAAUCCGCUAUCUUAACGGAUGUGUGGGUUCGAGUCCCUCUCCCGGCACCA